GGUCACUCUUUACGGGAGGCAGCAGUGGGGAAUUUUGGACAAUGGGGGCAACCCUGAUCCAGCAAUGCCGCGUGUGUGAAGAAGGCCUUCGGGUUGUAAAGCACUUUUGUCCGGAAAGAAAACCUCCGUCCUAAUACGGUGGGGGGAUGACGGUACCGGAAGAAUAAGCACCGGCUAACUACGUGCCAGCAGCCGCGGUAAUACGUAGGGUGCAAGCGUUAAUCGGAAUUACUGGGCGUAAAGCGUGCGCAGGCGGUUCGCUAAGACCGAUGUGAAAUCCCCGGGCUUAACCUGGGAACUGCAUUGGUGACUGGCGGGCUAGAGUAUGGCAGAGGGGGGUAGAAUUCCACGUGUAGCAGUGAAAUGCGUAGAGAUGUGGAGGAAUACCGAUGGCGAAGGCAGCCCCCUGGGCCAAUACUGACGCUCAUGCACGAAAGCGUGGGGAGCAAACAGGAUUAGAUACCCUGGUAGUCCACGCCCUAAACGAUGUCAACUAGUUGUCGGGUCUUCAUUGACUUGGUAACGAAGCUAACGCGUGAAGUUGACCGCCUGGGGAGUACGGUCGCAAGAUUAAAACUCAAAGGAAUUGACG
This 592-nucleotide ribosomal RNA is filed under the name uncultured Burkholderia sp. RNAcentral describes it as "bacterial SSU rRNA". It matches the Rfam family "Bacterial small subunit ribosomal RNA", at positions 331 to 915 of the family's 1533-position model. The record is from RNAcentral. Lineage: Bacteria; Pseudomonadati; Pseudomonadota; Betaproteobacteria; Burkholderiales; Burkholderiaceae.